This 426-nucleotide ribosomal RNA is filed under the name uncultured bacterium. RNAcentral describes it as "partial 16S ribosomal RNA". It matches the Rfam family "Bacterial small subunit ribosomal RNA", at positions 354 to 796 of the family's 1533-position model. The record is from RNAcentral.
GUGAGGAAUUUUCCGCAAUGGGCGAAAGCCUGACGGAGCAAUGCCGCGUGAAGGAUGAAGGCCUAUGGGUUGUAAACUUCUUUUCUCAGAAAAGAAUUAUGACGGUAUCUGAGGAAUAAGCAUCGGCUAACUCUGUGCCAGCAGCCGCGGUAAGACAGAGGAUGCAAGCGUUAUCCGGAAUGAUUGGGCGUAAAGCGUCUGUAGGUUGUUUAAAAAGUAUUCCGUCAAAGAUUAGGGCUUAACCCUAGAUAGGCAGAAUAAACUUUUAAGCUAGAGUUUGGUAGAGGCAGAGGGAAUUCCCGGUGGAGCGGUGAAAUGCGUAGAUAUCGGGAGGAACACCAAAGGCGAAGGCACUCUGCUGGGCCAAUACUAACACUGAGAGACGAAAGCGAGGGGAGCAAAUGGGAUUAGAAACCCGGGUAGUCC